Molecule: small nucleolar RNA, 80 nt
Organism: Sparus aurata (gilthead seabream)
Lineage: Eukaryota; Metazoa; Chordata; Actinopteri; Spariformes; Sparidae
Source: Ensembl
UCUGUCAGUGAUGAGCAAUAUCAUUUAAUUUGAGUUUAACGACCAUGAGAAAGCUCACAUGCACUACCAUCUGAGACAAG